UUUUUCAGAUUCUGCUUCUCUUUGGGACUCAGCAUCAAUGCUUGGCUCACCGGACCCAUUAAAAUGCUGAAGAAGGAAUAUGAAAAAGGUAUACCACACAACAUGAAGAGACCUGGGGAUCAGGAUCAGUGGACUGUGGGAGAAGGAGGCCUGAAGGUGAUAACGUCCUGUCUGAAGGAGCUAAUGCACACCCGGGGAGCAGCCCAGCUCCGUUCAAUGAAAUAAAACGUCCAGAGCUGUUCUCUUCAUGUUUUAUAUGGCAACACACUUUUAUGUGUGAUUAAGAAACAAAAUAACAAAGGGAGGAAUG
This 310-nucleotide long non-coding RNA is filed under the name Equus asinus (donkey). RNAcentral's name for it is "lncRNA (ENSEASG00005031519.1)". The record is from RNAcentral. Lineage: Eukaryota; Metazoa; Chordata; Mammalia; Perissodactyla; Equidae.